UCCAGAAUGUUCAUGGGCAAAACACGAUAUCAGAAUGUAUAGUAGCUCAAAUAUACAGGUCUCUUACCAAGAGUAGAAAUAUAAGUAAGUAAUUUAUGUAGGAAGUUUCUGUCUUGCUAUCUGUAGCAUUUGAGAUACAACCAGGUUGUGAGUUUAUAAAAAUAUUUCAUGUGUGCACGCUAAAUAAUUGAUAUGCCAGAUCACAGAUCAAAGAAACUAUUUAGUAUUGCAACAAUGGCACCAUUUGUGUAAGUUUUUUUUUUUUGGUAAUGAUUUGGGGAAAGAAGGAUUGAAAAUAAAAGAGUUCUAGUUUAUUUGGGAUUCUGGUACAUCCCCUAAAGAGUAAGAUCUCUAAUUAAUUUCAGUGUGCUACAAUUGUGUUUAAAAAACUAAAAACCAAAUAGACAUAUUUUUCAUUCUCUAUAGAGUUGUUGCAACAACAUAGUAUUUUAUUAUCAACCAUCCCCCCCCCCCCAAGCCUGCUUUCUGUGGGCUAUACAGAAAACUGUGGGUGGUAGUUAUAUGAAAAGAAACGUGCCAGUAAAUAAAGAGUUAAGAAAAGACAGAAAGAAAGGCAGGCUCAGUGGUUUGUUGAGAUCUGUCAGAGCCUGAGUGGCUGGCUACGUAUCUGUCUCAGGAACAAUAGGUACCUGUAUUCUGCCCGGACUGUUGGGCAGGCAUUCACAAUCUGGAAAAGGUCUGCCUCUGUGAGAGGUUUCUCCCUGAGAAUCCCUAAUGACAGUCCCACUUUUCGUGGGGGUUGGGUGGGUGGAAAUCCCAGCUCCUACUUCCCGUGAGGGGGCAGAGCUUUGAUCAUUGCUAUUCAGCCCUGACUUGGGUCUGAGUCUGAGGUUCUCAGUCUAGAAGUCAGCAGGCUGCCUUUUCAGUUACUUCAACAGAGGCAGGCACGCACACAGCACAUGCUCUCUCUCUCUCUCUCAUAUGCGUGUGCACACUCAUACACACUCAUCUCUCUUUGCUGGGCUGUGCAGGCAGCUUGGUGUCAGAGCCACAGCUGAGGCACAGUCCAAUGAGCAUAGCUGCAACCAGCCUUCAUGGUGGGCAAGAGAAACUGAUGACAACAAUGGAGAAGACUCGCUCCGGUGACAAGUUUAGAAACUACCCGUCUAUUGAACGACUCAUUGAUUCUUCUGAGGUGAAUCCGCUUAGAGCCAAAUGGCUAUAGGAAAUCAGUUCAUAUAUUCUGGCUGAAGGCAAUUCGGAAUGAGACUGCUUCCUUCAGGAUUUAACACAGGUGUGUUGAAAAAUGUUGUGAACAUAAAUCAUCAUUGAUUUUUCAUUAAUGUUUGACAAGUAGAGUUAGAGGCAGAAAUACAAUGACUGUUUCCCCUUGAUACAAAAGAUUACACAAAAUAAAUGUCACUGUGAAAAUCUCUUUACCAAUCUAUAGCCCAGUCUUAUACAAGUUUAUUACAAAGUAAGUCCCAUCUGGUACUGUGGGGCUUACAUAUAUAUAAAGAAGCAUGUAGAGGAUUUUAUCCCUAGACUUUAAUAAGUUCACAGCCAAAACAAUAGUUUUGAAGACUGGCUUCAAGAAAAAGCAGUCAAAAGUAGAUGUCACAAAUUAAUUCAGUUCUAACUGUGAAAUCUUGUGGAUUUUGUUUGUUAUUAAUUUGAUUGGUCUCACUCCCAGGUAAACAAGCAUGAAGCUAAAAUUUAUUUAAUUAACUAUACAAACAUUCCGUUAAUUUUUUGAAGGUACACAUAUUUUUCUAUCUCUAUGAGGCUGGUCAACUCCCUGAAAUCCUAACAGCUGGUAAACUAGCUGGGCUUUCUGGGAGUUGUAGGCCAAAACACCUGGGGACCCACAGGGUG
Anolis carolinensis (green anole) is the source of this 1836-nucleotide long non-coding RNA. The record is from Ensembl. NCBI's taxonomy places the organism in Eukaryota, Metazoa, Chordata, Lepidosauria, Squamata, Anolidae.